This 62-nucleotide transfer RNA is filed under the name Saemundssonia lari. RNAcentral's name for it is "tRNA-Met". Lineage: Eukaryota; Metazoa; Arthropoda; Insecta; Psocodea; Philopteridae. The record is from RNAcentral.
AGAGAAAUCUGCUAUCAUUAAGCGCUUAGGCCCAUACCCUAAAGAAGGAAAUACUCCUUUCU